GGAUGUGAGGGCAAUCUGUUGUGACAGCUGUCACUGCGUUGACCACUGCAUUGAUCUCCAGGGUUGACUUGGCCGAUCUGGCUAGCUGGGCAGGUGUCCCCUUUCUCCCCCAGCGCUCCAGCUCCAUGCACAUCCCUCCCAAAGCUGUGUGCUUGCUGGAAGUGGAUGACCUUCCCUGAAGAGGAGGACAUUCUUGGGUCAAGGGUAUUUGAGUAGCUGCAGUCUCCUGCUAGAAUCUCUAAACAAACUCUCAAGGUCCAUUUGUAGGAAAAUGUAGGGUGGUCAAGCUUUCAAGGAUCCAGACACAUCCAAGUGAGAUGCCGCAUAUGGUAGUCUGCCUUUCUU
Unclassified non-coding RNA from Mustela putorius furo (domestic ferret), 345 nucleotides. Its record names the gene 7SK. It matches the Rfam family "7SK RNA". Rfam says of the family: 7SK was discovered as an abundant small nuclear RNA in the mid-70s but a possible function has only recently been suggested. Lineage: Eukaryota; Metazoa; Chordata; Mammalia; Carnivora; Mustelidae. The record is from Ensembl.